RNAcentral lists this ribosomal RNA (432 nucleotides) under uncultured bacterium. RNAcentral describes it as "partial 16S ribosomal RNA". It matches the Rfam family "Bacterial small subunit ribosomal RNA", at positions 338 to 795 of the family's 1533-position model. The record is from RNAcentral.
CCUACGGGUGGCUGCAGUCGAGGAUCUUCGGCAAUGGGCGCAAGCCUGACCGAGCGACGCCGCGUGCGCGAUGAAGGCCUUCGGGUUGUAAAGCGCUGUCGAGGGGGGGGGGUUACAUCUGGAGGAAGCACGGGCUAAGUUCGUGCCAGCAGCCGCGGUAAGACGAACCGUGCGAACGUUAUUCGGAAUCACUGGGCUUAAAGGGCGCGUAGGCGGCUUCCCAAGCCCGGGGUGAAAUCUUUCGGCUUAACCGGAAAAGGGCCUCGGGGACUGGGUAGCUUUAGGGGGGUAGGGGCAAGCGGAACUUCCGGUGGAGCGGUGAAAUGCGUUGAUAUCGGAAGGAACGCCGGCGGCGAAAGCGGCUUGCUGGACCCCUCUGACGCUGAGGCGCGAAAGCCAGGGGAGCGAACGGGAUUAGAUACCCUUGUAGUC